RNAcentral lists this transfer RNA (59 nucleotides) under Neotoma lepida (desert woodrat). It matches the Rfam family "tRNA", at positions 7 to 64 of the family's 71-position model. Rfam says of the family: Transfer RNA (tRNA) molecules are approximately 80 nucleotides in length. Their secondary structure includes four short double-helical elements and three loops (D, anti-codon, and T loops). Lineage: Eukaryota; Metazoa; Chordata; Mammalia; Rodentia; Cricetidae. The record is from Rfam by way of RNAcentral.
GUAGCUUAGUGGCAGAGCACUUGCCUAGCAUGCAUGAGGCCCUGAAUUCCAUCUUCAGC